GAGGGGAGAGAAAGACGUAGAAAAACAGACAAGGAGAGAGGGCAGGAGUGGGGGACACAGGUACUGGGAGAGAGUAGAGACACAGAGACAAGAGAGAAAAGGCAACAAAGACAAAGCCAGAGACGCCCAGCCCGAGAGACAGAGCCACACGGAGAGAAUGGAGAGGGGAGCAGGGUCAGAGGGCCCGGACGACGCAGAGAAGGACGCGAAAGGACGUGAGAGGGACUUCCCCCAGGGGCAGGGAGAGGCCUUGGGCAGCUCCUCCGCUGGGCCGGGCUGCCUGCCUGCUGGACUCCGGGAAGGAGGCAGUGACCGCACCCAUCUGGAAGCUGUCAGGUCCCUCAAGGAUGAGGGCGUUGGGAGGAAGCCAGACAUGAGCCACGUCUAGAGAGAGGAAGCGGCGGGAUUUGAAAAAGAUGGCCCUCCUUCUGGGAGAGCACCCACUGCUCAUCUGAAUUCUAGAGAACCACUCAAGUGCAUAUAGACGGCAUCCAUCCUAAGAAGGAAAGUGCUCUCUAAGAAGCCACUAUGCCUGAAAUGCCACCAUAUGUAUACACCAUUCCACUAUGGAAAACAUUGCCUUUUCGGGGCUCUUCCUGUGAAAUGCAGGUAUAUUUAGCUCUUCAUGCUAUAGUAUGAAUUAGCCUAUCACUGGGUUCCCUUGUGACAAGAAAGCCCACGGCAACCAGACUGCCCAGGUUUCCCAGGGACAUCCUGAUUCUAAAUAUUAAAACAUUGCAUUAACCGGAAUCUAUAUAACAAAAGUGUGUACUCCCUACACAUCAUUCUGUUCUUUUCAAGGAAAUGGUUUGUUGAGUGUGUGACUGCAUAUGGUUUCAUUUUUAUGCCUUAUUGACACUUAACCCUGUCCCAGGCCAUGAGCUCUUGCUGGACAUACCAGAACAAAGACAUAGUCUCUUCAAGAUGGCAUUCACAGCCAUAGGGCAGGACGACAGGUGGGCGACAACCAUAGCCAGCAGAAGAGCAGACACUGGAACAGAGGUUCAAACCAACAACUAUGGAGCGAGCUGAGCCUUUUAUUGAAGCGUAAUACAUAUACAGAAAAAUUCACCUAUCAUAAGUAUGCAUCUUGGUAAAUUUUCACAAGGAAUAUACCCAUG
Molecule: long non-coding RNA, 1121 nt
Filed under: Homo sapiens (human)
Lineage: Eukaryota; Metazoa; Chordata; Mammalia; Primates; Hominidae
Description: HSALNT0363927
Source: RNAcentral